This 433-nucleotide ribosomal RNA is filed under the name uncultured bacterium. Its description in RNAcentral is "partial 16S ribosomal RNA". It matches the Rfam family "Bacterial small subunit ribosomal RNA", at positions 29 to 507 of the family's 1533-position model. The record is from RNAcentral.
AACGAACGCUGGCGGCAUGCCUAACACAUGCAAGUCGAACGAGACCUCCGGGUCUAGUGGCGCACGGGUGCGUAACGCGUGGGAACUUGCCCUUAGGUUCGGUAUAACUCCCCGAAAGGGGUGCUAAUACCGGAUAAUGUCUUCGGACCAAAGAUCUCUCGCCUUUGGAUGGGCCCGCGUUGGAUUAGCUAGUUGGUAGGGUAAAAGCCUACCAAGGCCACGAUCCAUAGCUGGUCUGAGAGGAUGAUCAGCCACACUGGGACUGAGACACGGCCCAGACUCCGACGGGAGGCAGCGGUAGGGAAUAUUAGGCGAUGGGCGAAAGCCUGAUCCAGCAAUGCCGCGUGAGUGAUGAAGGCCUUAGGGUUGUAAAGCUCUUUUACCCGGGAUGAUAAUGACAGUACCGGGAGAAUAAGCUCCGGCUAACUCCGUG